ACUUAGUUACUAGAAUGUUUUUCUCAACUAUGAAUCUGACUUCACUCCCUUUCUUGAAAACCUCCUGUAGUUCCUGUUGUGUACGGGAUAAAGACUGUGAGCCCCUGGAGUUCAGGGACCAUUUCUUAAUCAUAUUCCAGAACCUAUCACAAUGAAUGACACGAAGAAUAUAUUUGAUAAAAAUCUGAUGAAUGAACCACUCUAAAAUGCAACUCUAAUAAAGAAAAUUACUGCCUAUUCAGUUGGAACUGUACCAUGUUACAAACGUAAAAUUAUGUAUAGUCUGAUAAAGAAAUACUAUAAUAGCCUUGGAAACAGCUCACAUACAAUUUUUUUUAUAAAUGGAUUCAUUACCAUAUAACUGGACCAGCUUACUGAAGAGUAGCCCUACAGCAGUCACUUCGCAGUUUGCAAUUCAUUUGAGGUUCAAAGCUAGCUCAAGGGAAAACAACGUUAGUAUUAACAAACUUAUUUUUAAGCUUAAGGUCAGAAUUUAAGGGAAAAUAAAUAAAUAUAGUAUGUUCUAAGAAUCCAAAGGAAUUUUUAAAAAUUGCCCCCUGCAGCUGUAAUUUCUGCAUGGAUGAGAAAACCUUAAUUGCUUGCUGGCUUCCAAGAAAGCCAUUAACCUGCAUUUAAAAAUUCAGCUUUCAUCAAGAACAACCUCACAUAUCCAGCUCUCAUGGAAAAAGGAAUAGAAGCCUCUGACCUAGUUUUCAAUUAUUACCAAACUACUGAUAAUUGAUCUCCUGGUCUCCAGGUUUGUUUGUUUUACUAAAAUAAAUUCCCUCUGGAGCUGCAGGUGCUUACCAUGGGGCUGCGCAGGUGGAAAGCAGCCCAGUCUUACUAUGAGGAUGUCCGUUUGCCAUCUGGGAACAAGGAGGAAGAAGCAGAGACCUGGGCAAGACCUCAGAGAAUAAAUUAUCUCAAUGGCUACUUACAUGGUCCAGCAUAGCAGAAAAAAAAGCCACACUGAGCAAGCAGUGGUCCUUUCCAUGCUACACAAGCAAGAAAUGCCUAUAAAGACAGACUUGAGUGCAGUCUAAAGAAUCUUUUGCUUUGCCUUAACACUCUACUUCUGGAUAUCCUUGCUCAAAAAGAAGUCUACUCAAGGUGUGUAUCUUUCCUCUUUAUAAGCCCUCUGGCCUCAGGAAGACUGGUUUCAUUCAUGUGGUCAUGUUUUUGCACAGCUUAAGACUAAACUGUAUGAUCCUUCCUUCUGGGCUCCUACAAGGGCAUGCCAAAGUCCCCUCAAAUAACCAAAACGGUGCACAUCCCCUUUGCGUCCCACAGCAGUCUGCUAGUUUAUGUAAUACCAUAAUGACAGCUAUCUGGAGUGGAACAGUGACACUGCUUUUUCCCAGACUACUUCACCAUGUGAGGUAAACGGUAGAGGCAGCAAUAGGUCUGCUCAGUCUAUGGCUAAUACAAGACCUUGCUUAUGAUAGACUUCAAGAGCUUCUUAUUAGCCAGCUGUUAAUUCAUACAAACUGCACAGAAAUUCAUUCUGGAGCAAUAUUAUUUGUUUCACAUUAUACUUAACCUUGAAAAGGUUAGUUUUUCAAUGGGGGAUGAUUAUCCUGGAUAGAUGCAUACCCCCUACAAACAUGAAACUGGCAAGUUCACUAAAGAUUUCUCAAGAGCCACCAAGCUAGCAAAAGUCGCAACCAAAUAAUAUUAUAUACUCUGCCCUUCAGAGCAACCUUCUUCAUGCUGAAGUCUUCAGUUCACAGAAUGACUGACUUAUUUUCAAAAGAGGAAGGCUGUAUUGCAUAUUGUAACUCUCUCCAAAUCUAUACUUAUGAGCUAAUUCUUCAAAAGGUAAGAUCAAUUACCACACAGAAGGAGAAGCCAUCCAUUUUCUUGAAGCUGUCAAAAUUUGAGCUGUCUCCCAUAGGAUUUCCACUGACAGUUAAUGAAAAAAAUCAGUAUCUGUCAAUUUUGGAAGAAAUUUAAAAGUGGUAAGAUAUUCUUAUAAAUCGAUGUUAAAAUUUUGGUAUAAUUAUUGUAUAUUUGGAUUACUUUAUUUGCUUUCCUCCAAAUCAUUUCUUUACUAAAUUUCCCUAAGUUAGCUUAAUAAUGAGGUUUUCUUAAGGAGAAAUCUGUUGGUUAUACACAUAAAUUGCUAACA
RNAcentral lists this long non-coding RNA (2128 nucleotides) under Homo sapiens (human). RNAcentral's name for it is "HSALNT0299592". The record is from RNAcentral. Lineage: Eukaryota; Metazoa; Chordata; Mammalia; Primates; Hominidae.